CAGGUCUGUGAUGCCCUUAGAUGUCCGGGGCCACACGUGCGCUACAAUGACGGUGCCAGCGAGUCUCAGGUCUGUGAUGCCCUUAGAUGUCCGGGGCCACACGUGCGCUACAAUGACGGUGCCAGCGAGUCUGGGAACCUGGCCCGAAAGGGUUGGGCAAACUGUUUCAUCACCGUCGUGACUGGGAUCGGGGCUUGCAAUUAUUCCCCGUGAACGAGGAAUUCCURGUAAGYGCRAGUCAUMAGCUYGCGYUGAYUACGUCCCUGYCCUUUGUACACACCGCCCGUCGCUMCUACCGAUUGAAUGGUUUAGUGAGG
RNAcentral lists this ribosomal RNA (317 nucleotides) under Photobacterium chitinilyticum. Its description in RNAcentral is "Photobacterium sp. BEI 247 partial 16S ribosomal RNA". It matches the Rfam family "Eukaryotic small subunit ribosomal RNA", at positions 1476 to 1726 of the family's 1831-position model. Lineage: Bacteria; Pseudomonadati; Pseudomonadota; Gammaproteobacteria; Vibrionales; Vibrionaceae. The record is from RNAcentral.